This 457-nucleotide ribosomal RNA is filed under the name uncultured Burkholderiales bacterium. RNAcentral's name for it is "bacterial SSU rRNA". It matches the Rfam family "Bacterial small subunit ribosomal RNA", at positions 346 to 795 of the family's 1533-position model. Lineage: Bacteria; Pseudomonadati; Pseudomonadota; Betaproteobacteria; Burkholderiales. The record is from RNAcentral.
UGGCUGCAGUGGGGAAUUUUGGACAAUGGGGGAAACCCUGAUCCAGCAAUGCCGCGUGUGUGAAGAAGGCCUUCGGGUUGUAAAGCACUUUUGUCAGGAACGAAACGGUGGGGGCUAAUAUCCUCUGCUAAUGACGGUACCUGAAGAAUAAGCACCGGCUAACUACGUGCCAGCAGCCGCGGUAAUACGUAGGGUGCAAGCGUUAAUCGGAAUUACUGGGCGUAAAGCGUGCGCAGGCGGUUGUGCAAGACAGAUGUGAAAUCCCCGGGCUCAACCUGGGAAUUGCAUUUGUGACUGCACGGCUAGAGUGUGUCAGAGGGGGGUAGAAUUCCACGUGUAGCAGUGAAAUGCGUAGAUAUGUGGAGGAAUACCGAUGGCGAAGGCAGCCCCCUGGGAUAACACUGACGCUCAUGCACGAAAGCGUGGGGAGCAAACAGGAUUAGAUACCCGAGUAGUC